UGGUGGAGUGAUUUGUCUGGUCAAUUCCGUCAACGAACGAGACCCCUGCCUGCUAAAUGGCGUGCCGAGUGAAUUUUCACUGGGUGAUGCUUCUCAGAGGGACAUGCAUUCUGUCAGAUGCAGGAAGAUGGGGGCAACAACA
RNAcentral lists this ribosomal RNA (142 nucleotides) under uncultured eukaryote. RNAcentral describes it as "partial 18S ribosomal RNA". It matches the Rfam family "Eukaryotic small subunit ribosomal RNA", at positions 1299 to 1458 of the family's 1831-position model. The record is from RNAcentral.